GUGCGAGACCGAUAGCGAACAAGUACCGUGAGGGAAAGAUGAAAAGAACUUUGAAAAGAGAGUUAAAGAGUACCUGAAACUGCUGAAAGGGAAUCGAAUCGUUUCCAGUGUCUAUAAUCUGUGGCAUAUUUCAUUGGCGAGUGUGUGCGUGCAUUGUUUUGGAAGCAGUUUUCUGUUCCUGGCUGUGUUGUGCAUUUGCUUGCUGGUGCCCUGUGUCGCGGUGGGACGUCAGAGUCAAUUCGUAAGUUGCGGGAAAUGGCUAUUGGGGAGGUAGGUCACUUCGGUGGCUGUUAUAUCCUGAUAGCUAGUAGUCGUGGCUGGGAUUGAGGUGCCUACAACGUGCUUUCGAGUGUCUGGGUGUCUCGUUUGGUAAGUUAUCUUGACAGCUUGCUGUGUUGGUGAUAUUAUCGAGCGAUUGAUGUCUGGUCUAAACUUGUUGCUGUUCGGGACUUUGA
Molecule: ribosomal RNA, 455 nt
Filed under: uncultured Oomycota
Lineage: Eukaryota; Oomycota
Description: LSU rRNA
Rfam family: Eukaryotic large subunit ribosomal RNA
Source: RNAcentral